This 243-nucleotide ribosomal RNA is filed under the name uncultured bacterium. RNAcentral's name for it is "partial 16S ribosomal RNA". It matches the Rfam family "Bacterial small subunit ribosomal RNA", at positions 63 to 334 of the family's 1533-position model. The record is from RNAcentral.
CGAGCGCUCUCUUCGGAGGGAGCGGCGGACGGGUUAGUAACGCGUGGGAACGUACCCUUUUCUACGGAAUAGCCUCGGGAAACUGAGAGUAAUACCGUAUACGCCCUUCGGGGGAAAGAUUUAUCGGAGAAGGAUCGGCCCGCGUUGGAUUAGGUAGUUGGUGGGGUAACGGCCUACCAAGCCUACGAUCCAUAGCUGGUUUGAGAGGAUGAUCAGCAACACUGGGACUGAGACACGGCCCAG